UGUGACCUCAAAUCAGGUAGGACUACCCGCUGAACUUAAGCAUAUCAAUAAGCGGAGGAAAAGAAACUAACAAGGAUUCCCCUAGUAACUGCGAGUGAAGCGGGAAAAGCUCAAAUUUAAAAUCUGGCGGUCUUUUGGCUGUCCGAGUUGUAAUCUAGAGAAGUGUUAUCCGCGCUGGACCGUGUACAAGUCUCCUGGAAUGGAGCAUCAUAGAGGGUGAGAAUCCCGUCUUUGACAUGGACUGCCAGGGCUUUGUGAUGCGCUCUCAAAGAGUCGAGUUGUUUGGGAAUGCAGCUCAAAAUGGGUGGUAAAUUCCAUCUAAAGCUAAAUAUUGGCGAGAGACCGAUAGCGAACAAGUACCGUGAGGGAAAGAUGAAAAGAACUUUGGAAAGAGAGUUAAACAGUACGUGAAAUUGCUGAAAGGGAAACGCUUGAAGUCAGUCACGUUGUCCAGGGAUCAACCUUGCUUUUGCUUGGUGCACUUUCUGGUUCGACGGGUCAGCAUCAAUUUCGAUCGUUGGAAAAAGGCCAAGGGAAUGUGGCAUCUUUGGAUGUGUUAUAGCCCUUUGUCACAUACAAUGGUUGGGAUUGAGGAACUCAGCACGCCGCAAGGCCGGGUUUUAAACCACGUACGUGCUUAGGAUGCUGGCAAUAUGGCUUUAAUCGACCCGUCUUGAAACACGGACCAAGGAGUCUAACAUGCCUGCGAGUGUUUGGGUGGAAAACCCGAGCGCGUAAUGAAAGUGAAAGGUUGAGAUCCCUGUCGUGGGGAGCAUCGACGCCCGGACCAGACCUUUUGUGACGGUUCCGCGGUAGAGCAUGUAUGUUGGGACCCGAAAGAUGGUGAACUAUGCCUGAAUAGGGUGAAUCCAGAGGAAACUCUGGUGGAGGCUCGUAGCGAUUCUGACGUGCAAAUCGAUCGUCAAAUUUGGGUAUAGGGGCGAA
Molecule: ribosomal RNA, 945 nt
Filed under: Cortinarius sp. 5 MD-2018
Lineage: Eukaryota; Fungi; Basidiomycota; Agaricomycetes; Agaricales; Cortinariaceae
Description: eukaryotic LSU rRNA
Rfam family: Eukaryotic large subunit ribosomal RNA
Source: RNAcentral